RNAcentral lists this unclassified non-coding RNA (355 nucleotides) under Hevea brasiliensis (rubber tree). The record is from RNAcentral. Lineage: Eukaryota; Viridiplantae; Streptophyta; Magnoliopsida; Malpighiales; Euphorbiaceae.
CAAGCAAUGCAGAUGGCAGCUAACAUGGCUGUGUUUGAACGGGCUUGUGAUUUUUUCUUUCGUCAUGCUGCACAGCUUUCAGGGAUUCCAUUGAGAAUGGCAGAGAGGGGGAGGAGACUGUUCCCUUUGACUAAAGCCCGCGAUGCUGCUGAAGAGAUGCUCUCAGGUCUGCUUAAGCAAAAGGUUGAUGGGUUCCUUUUGUUGAUUGAGAAUGUGAAUUGGAUGGCCGAUGAUCCUCUACAGAGUGGAAAUGAAUAUGUGCAUGAGGUGAUUAUUUUUCUUGAAACACUAACUUCUACUGCCCAGCAAAUAUUGCCUGUUCAAGUUCUGAAGAGAGUUUUGCAAGAUGUUCUGU